UACGAAGGGGGCUAGCGUUGCUCGGAAUUACUGGGCGUAAAGCGCACGUAGGCGGCUCUUUAAGUCAGGGGUGAAAUCCUGGAGCUCAACUCCAGAACUGCCUUUGAUACUGAGGACCUUGAGUUCGGGAGAGGUGAGUGGAACUGCGAGUGUAGAGGUGAAAUUCGUAGAUAUUCGCAAGAACACCAGUGGCGAAGGCGGCUCACUGGCCCGGUACUGACGCUGAGGUGCGAAAGCGUGGGGAGCAAACAGG
RNAcentral lists this ribosomal RNA (253 nucleotides) under uncultured bacterium. Its description in RNAcentral is "partial 16S ribosomal RNA". It matches the Rfam family "Bacterial small subunit ribosomal RNA", at positions 524 to 776 of the family's 1533-position model. The record is from RNAcentral.